Molecule: long non-coding RNA, 1473 nt
Organism: Urocitellus parryii (Arctic ground squirrel)
Lineage: Eukaryota; Metazoa; Chordata; Mammalia; Rodentia; Sciuridae
Source: RefSeq, a predicted model, not a curated record
GUCCGGUUGGACCCGCCGGCACGCGUGCGCGUGUGCAGUUCCGCGGGUCACGCUGGGUUUUCAGAGCCCCGGCGGUACAGCCGUCGGGUCCCCUGUCUCACCAAGAACGUGGAAGACUCCGAGCCACUCAUUUAUUCGUGCCGAGGCGAGCAGGGACACGGGUGGGAGGAGAGCGGUCUCAGUCUCAGCUUCUGCACCUCGACUCGCACUUCUGUAAAGUGGGGGCCCAUCGCAGUCCUGCUCUCAAGAUCGCACCAGGUGGCUCCUGGAAGGUGCCAGGCCUCGUGGGCCUCAGUACAUCUUGGGUGGCUGGUGUUUCCCGCCGCCGUCCCCUCCAGUGCCCGAGCCCCCGUGGGGAGGGUCUGUUCUCCCGGCCUCACCUUCCAGAGGGGAAAGCCCCAGCUGGAAAGGUCACGUGACCGGGGUCACCCGGCGACCGCUGAGAGGUCAGGCCCCAAGGUCGUCCUGACCGGGAAGCCCCUCCAGCAGCCCACCCUGUGCCCCCACUGUCACGGUCGCUCUUUGUACGGACACACACAAGUUUUAGGAGGAACUAGCUCAAGGGAGCCGGCGAAGCCCCGCCAUCUCGGGCUCCCGAGGGCUGGGGGAUUCUGGCGGGUGGGUUGCGAGUGCGGGUCCCACUGUGGGCUCAGCGCUUGUGGUGUUGAGUGACUGCGGGUUAGAUCCUGGGGACUGAAUCCCGGCGCCUGGCACGGGCUAGGCAAGCACCCAGCUCAACGUACAGACCUUUUUGUUUUAUUUUGCCCCGGUUGUCCUCCAACUUGGCCAUUCUCCUGCCUCAGCCUUCUCUGACCAACCGGAAUCACAGGCAUGUGCCACUGUCCUCAGCUGUUAGAUCUUUUCUAAGUAAGAUCUGUGAAUUAAAAAAUUCAAGUUGGAAAGGGUGACACAUGAUUUCAGAAUGACAGGAAGAAACUUUGCCUGAGGAGGAGGGACAGUACACUGGGGGCCACCUUCUUUGCCCAAUGAGCCAUACACUUGAAGGAUGGGGGUGAGAUCUCCCACAGAAUAAUUGACCUUAACUUCCUGAUGCUGAGACCAAGGCUGUGACAGCAGUGAUCUUCGCUGCAAACCAGAGCCUGAAACUGGCGGAUUUAGGCAGAAGUGGAAUUCAUGAAAGAAUGGUUCCGGGCACAGAGAGCUGCUGAGAGGGUGGAGAGCUGGGCACAGACCUGGGGAGUAGGGGAGGAAAAGUCUCCACCACCCGUAGGACUUCAACCCACUGUGCCCACGCCCUCGGUGGUCCCUUUCAGCAAUGCCAGGGCCUGUCGAGGGUGCUCUGUGGACUCCCACAGCCUGCGUCCCACCAGCUGGUCGCCGUCCUCCAUGCUAAGUGACUCCCCUGAACAAACAGCACAGCCCCAGGAUCACAUAUCACUCCACACCAGAAGCCUCAGCCCGACUCGGAGAAGAGGGUCUAUGUGAAAAGCUGCCUCCAAGUGGCAAUCUGUC